CCUACGGGAGGCAGCAGUGGGGAAUAUUGGACAAUGGGGGCAACCCUGAUCCAGCAAUGCCGCGUGAGUGAUGUAGGCCUUCGGGUUGUAAAGCUCUUUUGGCGGGGACGAUGAUGACGGUACCCGCAGAAUAAGCCCCGGCUAACUACGUGCCAGCAGCCGCGGUAAUACGAAGGGGGCUAGCGUUGUUCGGAAUUACUGGGCGUAAAGGGCGCGUAGGCGGUCCUGAUCGUCGGAUGUGAAAGGCCUGGGCUCAACCUGGGAACUGCAUCCGAUACGGCGGGACUGGAGUGUGGGAGAGGAUGGUGGAAUUCCCAGUGUAGAGGUGAAAUUCGUAGAUAUUGGGAAGAACACCGGUGGCGAAGGCGGCCAUCUGGACCACAACUGACGCUGAGGCGCGAAAGCGUGGGGAGCAAACAGGAUUAGAUACCCUGGUAGUCCACGCUGUAAACGAUGCGUGCUAGACGUUGGGAGCCCUAGGCUCUCGGUGUCGUCGCUAACGCUUUAAGCACGCCGCCUGGGGAGUACGGCCGCAAGGUUAAAACUCAAAGGAAUUGACGG
This 561-nucleotide ribosomal RNA is filed under the name uncultured bacterium. Its description in RNAcentral is "bacterial SSU rRNA". It matches the Rfam family "Bacterial small subunit ribosomal RNA", at positions 338 to 916 of the family's 1533-position model. RNAcentral also lists the same sequence under 1 other name. The record is from RNAcentral.